UACAGAGGUCUCAAGCGUUGUUCGGAUUCAUUGGGCGUAAAGGGUGCGUAGGCGGCGUGGCAAGUCUGGUGUGAAAUCCCGGGGCUCGACCUCGGAACUGCACUGGAUACUGCCAUGCUAGAGUACUGGAGAGGGAACUGGAAUUUACGGUGUAGCAGUGAAAUGCGUAGAUAUCGUAAGGAAGACCAGUGGCGAAGGCGAGUUCCUGGACAGUUACUGACGCUGAGGCACGAAGGCCAGGGGAGCAAACGGG
RNAcentral lists this unclassified non-coding RNA (253 nucleotides) under uncultured Verrucomicrobiota bacterium. RNAcentral's name for it is "uncultured Verrucomicrobia bacterium contains 16S-23S intergenic spacer region". It matches the Rfam family "Bacterial small subunit ribosomal RNA", at positions 524 to 776 of the family's 1533-position model. Lineage: Bacteria; Pseudomonadati; Verrucomicrobiota. The record is from RNAcentral.